AAGAGACAAGCUGACUAAAGAGCAGAUCAUGUGUUGGUGGUGCAGACCUUACUCUGACUCAAAAUUGUUGCAUUUGAUCGUAUGCUGGAAGGGCAACGUAUUCCAAACCCCAAGUCUCAGUUGCAUUGUUAACAGUGGCAUGACUGUAUGCGUCACUCUGUAUGCCACUAUAGAGCAAGCAGUUUACACAUCAUUCACCAGUACAUGAUAAAAAUAAGGUGGAAUGAAGACGAGUGAUGAAAUGUUGUACUGGAUGAAGCAACAGGAUUCCUGCAACAGAAGACAUUGGAGACAAAAUGGAUCAAAAUGUCCGUAUAAUGUGAGAAGAAAAUGAGAGCCAGCACCCAGGCCUGAGGGGACCUGCCCCGUCGUGCCUCAGCCUGUUCAUGGUCCUACUGGUGGGCUCCUCACCCGCAGCUGGCGGCUGGGGUUUCCGUGGCUCUUGGUCAGGAGGCGCAGAGCGGUCAGCAUCAGCUACCCCAGGGGAGAUGUGCAGUACCAGGGGGAAUUCUUGGAGGCUCAUCAGCUGCCUUGGUCCAUCUUCUGCUAUAUAAAGCGGUAAAACUAAGUAAAGUCUGGCACUUCGCUGAAAACAGUAUCAGUAACAUAAAAUCUUUAGCUAAAUUAAGCUUUAUUAAUUGAUUGAUCGAUUUUCCGAUGCGGCGGAGGAAAUGUAAUUAAAACGUGGACAGAACACAAACUACUAUUCAACUACGAAAGGCUACUCGCGAAGAAUGUACCUCAGUUGUGAGCGAGCGAACACGCAGCGCAUCCUGCUGCUGCAUGGGAACCCAUAGGCAAGACGGUGGAAGUUGAGUACGUCUAAAAUUGGUUUUAAGGUCUUUCAACAUGACUAAUAACUUAUUGUAAGUUGAGUAUACGCGCAUAUUGACCGCUUUUUUCCUGCCUACCAGUGACAUUCUUGUAUUUCAGUCCUACGGAGAUGUUGGACAAGGCCAGGUUGCCCAACACCAUGGCACGCGAUUAACCGUGUCUGAUAAUGUGGGGAAUUGUGGCGUGAACUGUUCAGGAUAGGAACGCGGCGUGCCUGGAGGUUUUGUGGUGAACACAACGGGGCCUCACAUCCACCUGAGACUUUCCUGUGAGGUGACAGAGCGCUGGGCCAGGCUGCCCAGGGAGGUUGUGGAGCCUCCUCCUCUGGAGACAUCCAAAGCCCGCCUGGCCGCCAUCCCGCGCACUGCGCUCGGGGUGCUUGGUGGGUUGGACGGGGCGAUCUCCAGAGCUCCCUCCCCGCCCGGCCACGAGGCGACUCCGUGCCAGGUAAGGGCUCUGUGCGACUUCGAGGCUCGCUGUCGCGCAGCCCGGCGCCGAGCUCCCCGCGGCCGGGCAGGGGCAGGGGCAGGGGCAGGGGCAGGGG
Long non-coding RNA from Cygnus olor (mute swan), 1378 nucleotides. RefSeq lists it as uncharacterized. The record is from RefSeq and is a predicted model, not a curated record. The transcript has 3 exons. NCBI's taxonomy places the organism in Eukaryota, Metazoa, Chordata, Aves, Anseriformes, Anatidae.